CAGAUCAGAUUUGGAGGAGCACCUUAAACAUGUUGAUGAUGUCAGUGUGUAUCUAGGAGCAGCUCCUAUUGUUGAAUGCCUUCAGAAUUUCAGACCGAAUGUAAUUAUUACUUCUCGAGUUGCUGAUGCUUCCUUAUUCUUAGCCCCAAUGGUGUAUGAGCUCGGUUGGAACUGGGAUGACUUGCACCUGCUUGCCCAAGGUUCACUGGCUGGCCACCUGCUAGAAUGUGGUUGCCAACUUACUGGAGGAUACUAUAUGCAUCCAGGUGAACCUUUCGUUCGUAUUGCGAUAUUUCAGGAAUGUGCACCUUUCUUUCGUAGGGAGUAUGAUGUCUGUAUAUUAUGGUGGAGUCUUGAGGUUGGAGG
RNAcentral lists this unclassified non-coding RNA (366 nucleotides) under Hevea brasiliensis (rubber tree). The record is from RNAcentral. Lineage: Eukaryota; Viridiplantae; Streptophyta; Magnoliopsida; Malpighiales; Euphorbiaceae.